CCCUUAGAUGUCCUGGGCCGCACGCGCGCUACACUGACGAAGUCAGCGAGCAUGCCCUACGCCGACAGGCGCGGGGAAUCUUGUCAAACUUCGUCGUGAUGGGGAUUGAUUAUUGAAAUUCUUGAUCAUCAACGAGGAAUUCCUAGUAAGCGCAAGUCAGCAGCUUGCGUUGAUUACGUCCCUGCCCUUUGUACACACCGCCCGUCGCUACUACCGAUUGAAUGGUUUAGUGAGAUCUUCGGAUUGGCGCCACUGCGGCUCAGCAAUGGGCUCGGUGGAUGCCGAAAAGUUGAUCAAACUUGAUCAUUUAGAGGAAGUAAAAGUCGUAACA
Molecule: ribosomal RNA, 331 nt
Filed under: uncultured eukaryote
Lineage: Eukaryota
Description: partial 18S ribosomal RNA
Rfam family: Eukaryotic small subunit ribosomal RNA
Source: RNAcentral